RNAcentral lists this long non-coding RNA (415 nucleotides) under Dromaius novaehollandiae (emu). Its description in RNAcentral is "lncRNA (ENSDNVG00000000886.1)". Lineage: Eukaryota; Metazoa; Chordata; Aves; Casuariiformes; Dromaiidae. The record is from RNAcentral.
CUAGAUCAAGUAGUUGAUCUUUUUUUCUACAGAUCUUUGGGAGCCGAACGUGUAAGCAGCCAGCUAGUUAAAGAGAGAUUGAACAAGCAUUUGUCAGUACUGGUUUAGGUCUGAAGCAAGGUCCAGCUCAGCUGUUUCCUAUAAGAAAUGUUAUGACAUCUGAACAAACGCUCUUAAAAAGGUGUAUCUCUGGAAGGACAGAAAAUUAAACAAAAGAACAGAAUACACUCUGGAUUUUCUUCCUAUGUACAGUCUACACUGAUUGAAGUGCUGAAUCCACUCAUAGGACCAGCUUACUGUAAAUACUCCAUUUCAAUAGACUGCCAAAAGAACUGCAAAAUACUUCAAAGACUUUAAUUUCAAAAAAUCAGUUGGAAAGCCAUUUCUUCCUCUUGAUUAAUAAGAAAACAAUUGG